Molecule: ribosomal RNA, 492 nt
Filed under: uncultured bacterium
Lineage: Bacteria
Description: partial 16S ribosomal RNA
Rfam family: Bacterial small subunit ribosomal RNA
Source: RNAcentral
AGUGAACGCUGGCGGUAGGCCUAACACAUGCAAGUCGAACGGCAGCACAGUAAGAGCUUGCUCUUACGGGUGGCGAGUGGCGGACGGGUGAGGAAUACAUCGUAAUCUACUUUUUCGUGGGGGAUAACGUAGGGAAACUUACGCUAAUACCGCAUACGACCUACGGGUGAAAGCAGGGGAUCUUCGGACCUUGCGCGAUUGAAUGAGCCGAUGUCGGAUUAGCUAGUUGGCGGGGUAAAGGCCCACCAAGGCGACGAUCCGUAGCUGGUCUGAGAGGAUGAUCAGCCACACUGGAACUGAGACACGGUCCAGGCUCCUACGGGAGGCAGCAGUGGGGAAUAUUGGACAAUGGGCGCAAGCCUGAUCCAGCCAUACCGCGUGGGUGAAGAAGGCCUUCGGGUUGUAAAGCCCUUUUGUUGGGAAAGAAAAGCAGCAGGUUAAUACCCCGCUGUUCUGACGGUACCCAAAGAAUAAGCACCGGCUAACUUCGUG